Molecule: non-coding RNA, 106 nt
Filed under: human gut metagenome
Description: FMN riboswitch (RFN element)
Rfam family: FMN riboswitch aptamer (RFN element)
About the family: The RFN element is a highly conserved domain that is found frequently in the 5'-untranslated regions of prokaryotic mRNAs that encode for flavin mononucleotide (FMN) biosynthesis and transport proteins. This element is a metabolite-dependent riboswitch that directly binds FMN in the absence of proteins.
Source: RNAcentral
UUUCUUCGGGGCGGGGUGAAAUUCCCCACCGGCAGUAAAAGUCUGCGAGCCUUGGCUGAACGGGUGCAAUUCCCGUACCGACGGUAUAGUCCGGAUGGAAGAAGAA